GGGACAGCAGCUCAGCCUAGUAUCGAAUGAACUCCAACUUCUACGUUGAAUCGAAGCCCAAGAUAUCCACAGACUACCAAAACUGAGAUCAAACUCCGGGAAACCAAAACAGAAUCCAUGUAAUUCCAGCGCAACGCUGAUGGAAUCAGUCCAAGAACGGACGGGAAUGACUAAUUCAAAAAAGCAAACUGAGACGCUAGAGCUCCGGUGAG
Molecule: long non-coding RNA, 212 nt
Filed under: Capsicum annuum
Lineage: Eukaryota; Viridiplantae; Streptophyta; Magnoliopsida; Solanales; Solanaceae
Description: long non-coding RNA (CANN_LNC004722)
Source: RNAcentral